AGUGAGUGGCGAACGGGUGAGUAACACGUGGGUAACCUGCCCAGAAGUAGGGGAUAACACCUGGAAACAGAUGCUAAUACCGUAUAACAGAGAAAACCGCAUGGUUUUCUUUUAAAAGAUGGCUCUGCUAUCACUUCUGGAUGGACCCGCGGCGUAUUAGCUAGUUGGUGAGGUAAAGGCUCACCAAGGCAGUGAUACGUAGCCGACCUGAGAGGGUAAUCGGCCACAUUGGGACUGAGACACGGCCCAGACUCCUACGGGAGGCAGCAGUAGGGAAUCUUCCACAAUGGACGCAAGUCUGAUGGAGCAACGCCGCGUGAGUGAAGAAGGGUUUCGGCUCGUAAAGCUCUGUUGUUAAAGAAGAACGUGGGUAAGAGUA
Molecule: ribosomal RNA, 379 nt
Filed under: Pediococcus pentosaceus
Lineage: Bacteria; Bacillati; Bacillota; Bacilli; Lactobacillales; Lactobacillaceae
Description: bacterial SSU rRNA
Rfam family: Bacterial small subunit ribosomal RNA
Source: RNAcentral